UAGGGAAUCUUCGGCAAUGGACGAAAGUCUGGCCGAGCAACGCCGCGUGAGUGAAGAAGGUUUUCGGAUCGUAAAACUCUGUUGGUAGAGAAGAACGUUGGUGAGAGUGGAAAGCUCAUCAAGUGACGGUAACUACCCAGAAAGGGACGGCUAACUACGUGCCAGCAGCCGCGGUAAUACGUAGGUCCCGAGCGUUGUCCGGAUUUAUUGGGCGUAAAGCGAGCGCAGGUGGUUUAUUAAGUCUGGUGUAAAAGGCAGUGGCUCAACCAUUGUAUGCAUUGGAAACUGGUAGACUUGAGUGCAGGAGAGGAGAGUGGAAUUCCAUGUGUAGCGGUGAAAUGCGUAGAUAUAUGGAGGAACACCGGUGGCGAAAGCGGCUCUCUGGCCUGUAACUGACACUGAGGCUCGAAAGCGUGGGGAGCAAACAGGAUUAGAUACCCUGGUAGUCCACGCCGUAAACGAUGAGUGCUAGAUGUAGGGAGCUAUAAGUUCUCUGUAUCGCAGCUAACGCAAAUAAGCACUCCGCCUGGGGGAGUACGACCGCAAGGUUGAAAC
Molecule: ribosomal RNA, 555 nt
Filed under: uncultured bacterium
Lineage: Bacteria
Description: partial 16S ribosomal RNA
Rfam family: Bacterial small subunit ribosomal RNA
Source: RNAcentral